This 1489-nucleotide ribosomal RNA is filed under the name uncultured Flavobacteriia bacterium. Its description in RNAcentral is "bacterial SSU rRNA". It matches the Rfam family "Bacterial small subunit ribosomal RNA". The record is from RNAcentral. Lineage: Bacteria; Pseudomonadati; Bacteroidota; Flavobacteriia.
GAGAGUUUGAUCCUGGCUCAGGAUGAACGCUAGCGGCAGGCUUAACACAUGCAAGUCGAGGGGUAACGGGGAAGCUUGCUUCCGCCGACGACCGGCGCACGGGUGCGUAACGCGUAUACAAUCUACCUUGUACUGGGGUAUAGCCUUUAGAAAUGAAGAUUAACCCCCCAUAGUCUCUUAGAGUGGCAUCACUUCUAGAGUAAAGGUUACGGUAUAAGAUGAGUAUGCGUUCUAUUAGUUUGUUGGUGUGGUAACGGCACACCAAGACUACGAUAGAUAGGGGCCCUGAGAGGGGGAUCCCCCACACUGGUACUGAGACACGGACCAGACUCCUACGGGAGGCAGCAGUGAGGAAUAUUGGACAAUGGAGGCAACUCUGAUCCAGCCAUGCCGCGUGCAGGAAGACUGCCCUAUGGGUUGUAAACUGCUUUUAUACAGGAAGAAACACCUCUACGUGUAGAGGCUUGACGGUACUGUAAGAAUAAGGAUCGGCUAACUCCGUGCCAGCAGCCGCGGUAAUACGGAGGAUCCAAGCGUUAUCCGGAAUCAUUGGGUUUAAAGGGUCCGUAGGUGGAUAAUUAAGUCAGAGGUGAAAUCUUGCAGCUCAACUGUAAAAUUGCCUUUGAAACUGGUUAUCUUGAGUUAUUAUGAAGUAGUUAGAAUAUGUAGUGUAGCGGUGAAAUGCAUAGAUAUUACAUAGAAUACCAAUUGCGAAGGCAGAUUACUAAUAAUCAACUGACACUGAUGGACGAAAGCGUGGGUAGCGAACAGGAUUAGAUACCCUGGUAGUCCACGCCGUAAACGAUGGUUACUAGCUGUUUGGACUUCGGUCUGAGUGGCUAAGCGAAAGUGAUAAGUAACCCACCUGGGGGGUACGUUCGCAAGAAUGAAACUCAAAGGAAUUGACGGGGGCCCGCACAAGCGGUGGAGCAUGUGGUUUAAUUCGAUGAUACGCGAGGAACCUUACCAGGGCUUAAAUGUAAGUUGCAUUAGUUAGAGAUAGCUAUUUCUUCGGACCACUUACAAGGUGCUGCAUGGUUGUCGUCAGCUCGUGCCGUGAGGUGUCAGGUUAAGUCCUAUAACGAGCGCAACCCCUGUUGUUAGUUGCCAGCGAGUCAUGUCGGGAACUCUAGCAAGACUGCCAGUGCAAACUGUGAGGAAGGUGGGGAUGACGUCAAAUCAUCACGGCCCUUACGUCCUGGGCUACACACGUGCUACAAUGGUAGGUACAGAGAGCAGCCACUGCGCGAGCAGGAGCGAAUCUACAAAACCUAUCACAGUUCGGAUCGGAGUCUGCAACUCGACUCCGUGAAGCUGGAAUCGCUAGUAAUCGGAUAUCAGCCAUGAUCCGGUGAAUACGUUCCCGGGCCUUGUACACACCGCCCGUCAAGCCAUGGAAGUUGGAAGUGCCUGAAGUCCGUCACCGUAAGGAGCGGCCUAGGGUAAAGUCGAUAACUAGGGCUAAGUCGUAACAAGGUAAAUCACUAGU